GCAGUGGGGAAUAUUGCACAAUGGGCGCAAGCCUGAUGCAGCCAUGCCGCGUGUAUGAAGAAGGCCUUCGGGUUGUAAAGUACUUUCAGCGGGGAGGAAGGCGACAGGGUUAAUAACUCUGUCGAUUGACGUUACCCGCAGAAGAAGCACCGGCUAACUCCGUGCCAGCAGCCGCGGUAAUACGGAGGGUGCAAGCGUUAAUCGGAAUUACUGGGCGUAAAGCGCACGCAGGCGGUCUGUUAAGUCAGAUGUGAAAUCCCCGGGCUUAACCUGGGAACUGCAUUUGAAACUGGCAGGCUUGAGUCUUGUAGAGGGGGGUAGAAUUCCAGGUGUAGCGGUGAAAUGCGUAGAGAUCUGGAGGAAUACCGGUGGCGAAGGCGGCCCCCUGGACAAAGACUGACGCUCAGGUGCGAAAGCGUGGGGAGCAAACAGGAUUAGA
Molecule: ribosomal RNA, 439 nt
Filed under: uncultured bacterium
Lineage: Bacteria
Description: bacterial SSU rRNA
Rfam family: Bacterial small subunit ribosomal RNA
Source: RNAcentral